GGGGGGUGAAUUCGUGUUGUUUCAAAAAUACUUUCUUUUCACAAUCUUGCAAUCAAAUUAUAAAGCUUUUUGAAAUUUCUUGAAUUGCAAGCAAUCAGAAUAUGUAUGCAGCGGAAAUUACAUAGUUGACUGCGUAAAGAAUAAAGUCGACUGGAAUGUAAAAGAUAAGGGAUAGAGAAAUGCAAACACAAAUUUUUAUACUGGUUCCGCCAACAAUGCCUACAUCCAGUGUCCUUCCAACCCAGGAAGCAAAUGCACUAUAAUGGUUGCGGUUUUUACAACAAGGAAUUUAUAGAAGACCUCCACGUCAAAAAUAUAAAUCUCCUCUCUAACCCAAAACCAAAAUAUAGCUGCACAACACAAUCAGACUUGCAGCAAGAAUCCCCUAUUCUACAAUCUGCAACACCAAUUUGAACAAUCCUCAAAGUGAACUAUCCCCCUGUAUCAAUUAUAUUAUCCUACUCUGUCCCUCAAACUGGAUCUUCAGAUAUAAAUACAACCACUGAAGCUACAUCCUUCCUACUUUGUCCAACUCUCAAGAUGGAUCUUCGGUAAGGAUUUCCCACUCUCCACCAAACUCUUACUAUGUUAAAAUACAUAAUUUCACAUCCAACAUAAUAUAAUACAUUCAACACAGAUUUCAUAUCCAUUUUACAAAAAUAAAAUCAACAGAAUAUAAUAUGUUUGAUAAGAAUUUAGUUAAAACAUAUCGAGUAGACUUCCAGGAAAGAGAGGUUCGUCACAAUGGACAACUUAAGUACCAGGUCCUUCCUAGCCAAAGUGUUCCUCAACUUGUUAUUAACAAAUUUCUUAUCCACAGAUUCAAAACAACAACAUAUAAUAUUAACACAGAAAUUCAAAUAGUUAUACAACAAGCACAUAGUUUUUUUUUUCCUUAAUAGUAAUUACACAUAAUUUCAAGAUAUGAAUAGUUAUGAAAAUAAUUUGUCAUAAUAUAAAAGCUUAGAAAAGUUAGCUCCCCUUACCUCUUUUCCAGACUUAGUUUCCUACUCAGAAGUUGUUCCCCCGAAAAUCCUCUAGAAUCUAUACUCUCUUUGCAACCAAAAUUUCUUCCUAAUUCUUUUCUUCUCUCCCUUUCUCUCUUUCUUUCUUAUUUCCUCUCCUUUUUGUGCAUAAUCCUUCUUCCCCCC
This 1151-nucleotide long non-coding RNA is filed under the name Vigna radiata. RNAcentral describes it as "long non-coding RNA (VRAD_LNC014888)". Lineage: Eukaryota; Viridiplantae; Streptophyta; Magnoliopsida; Fabales; Fabaceae. The record is from RNAcentral.